UACGGAGGUGGCAAGCGUUGCUCGGAAUCACUGGGCGUAAAGGGCGCGUAGGCGGGGAGGUAAGUCGGGUGUGAAAUCCCUCGGCCCAACCGAGGAACUGCGCCCGAGACUGCUUCUCUUGAGUCCCGGAGAGGAAGAUGGAAUUCCCGGUGUAGCGGUGAAAUGUGUAGAGAUCGGGAGGAACACCGGUGGCGAAGGCGGGUCUCUGGGCAAUUCCUGACGCUGAGGCGCGAAAGCGUGGGGAGCAAACGGG
RNAcentral lists this ribosomal RNA (253 nucleotides) under uncultured bacterium. RNAcentral describes it as "partial 16S ribosomal RNA". It matches the Rfam family "Bacterial small subunit ribosomal RNA", at positions 524 to 776 of the family's 1533-position model. The record is from RNAcentral.